ACAGGCGUGGCGUAAUGGUAACGCGUCUGACUUCGGAUCAGAAGAUUGCGGGUUCGAGUCCCGUCGCCUGUG
Nematocida sp. is the source of this 72-nucleotide non-coding RNA. NCBI's taxonomy places the organism in Eukaryota, Fungi, Microsporidia. The record is from Rfam.